UAACAAUUCCUGAUGCUUCAAAAGUGUGCACUUACUGCGAUAAAGUUUUUUCCACCUCCUGUAACAAACGAGCUCAUGAACGUCGACAGCAUGGUGUGAACCCUGGCCCUGUAUCCCAUUCAGAUGGCCCAACUAUUGUGCAAUGUACAGAAUGCAAUGUGACUUUUGCUACCCUUACUGCUUACAGGGAACACCUUUCUUUAGUCCAUGACAUUGAGAUUCACAAAGCUCAGCAUGAGUUUACUUCUGAGGAAGAUUUCUUGAGAUGGAAAGACUGUAUGGAACUGGACAUUGGAGUCAAUUACACGGCUCAUUCUGGACCAAAGAAAUCAUGUGAUGGCACCAAACAGAUAUUCUACUGUCGAAGAUCAGGUGUUCAGUCAACGAAGAUUUCCAGUAAGAGUCGUGCAGAAAAGAGCCAAGGUACCUGUAAGAUGGGGUUUUACUGCACCUCAUCAAUUGAAGUUGUGAAGAAGGAUGAAAAGAUUUGUGUAACCUUUUACUCUGACCAUCGUGAUCACAACCUUGAUUUUAACAGCCAGGUUCACAUGACACUUCCCAAGAGUGAACAGGAUAAGAUUGCAGGUAUGAUUACACAAGGGAUCGAACAUGACAUAAUUUUGGACAGAGUGCGGGAGUCAGCAGGCAGUAAUCGAAUGUCUUUCUUAGAAAAGAAGGAUAUAGAUAAUAUUUGUGUUAGGUAUGGAUUGAAUAAAACCCACAGCAGACACUCUGAUGACAGCACAAGUGUACGAUUAAUUGUUAAAGAAAUGCAGGAUGCCAAUGAAGUCUUGUAUUUCAAAGAUCAAGGAGAUGUAGAUUCAGAUAAUCCUGAAAUACCAUCCAAAGAAUUUGUAUUAGGUUUUAUGAAAGGGGGACAAGAAUUAAUAUUUUCUACCCAGAUGAAAUCUUGUGACAAGAUACAGGUAUGCAUGGAUUCAACUCAUUGCAUUAGCCAAUAUUCAGGAUUCCAGAAAUAGCCAAACCUAAGGUGUCAACAGAAGAAAUUAAUAUGAUUCAUGAUGUAAGUAAUGAGGAAACCUAUGAUAGACAAGUUGUGAAAUACCAGGAACAAUUGAAAAACAAAAUUAGGUUACAGCUUCUCCCAAAAUGUAGUGAAAGUAAGGACCUUCAAGUUUUGAAAACUGCUAAUAGCUUGUUGUGUAAGUUAAUUGCAACAUUAGAUGCUGGCACGAGUUAUCCACCAAACAACAGUAACUGGCCUGUGGAUGUGACAACUGUUUCAGAGCCAGGUAA
Eriocheir sinensis (Chinese mitten crab) is the source of this 1257-nucleotide long non-coding RNA. RefSeq lists it as uncharacterized. The transcript has 5 exons. NCBI's taxonomy places the organism in Eukaryota, Metazoa, Arthropoda, Malacostraca, Decapoda, Varunidae. The record is from RefSeq and is a predicted model, not a curated record.